GACGAACGCUGGCGGCGUGCUUAACACAUGCAAGUCGAACGAUGAACCCGGAGCUUGCUCUGGGGGAUUAGUGGCGAACGGGUGAGUAACACGUGAGUAACCUGCCCUGGACUCUGGGAUAAGCGUUGGAAACGACGUCUAAUACCGGAUAGGACCUUGGAUCGCAUGAUCUGGGGUGGAAAGUUUUUUCGGUCUGGGAUGGACUCGCGGCCUAUCAGCUUGUUGGUGAGGUAAUGGCUCACCAAGGCGUCGACGGGUAGCCGGCCUGAGAGGGUGACCGGCCACACGGGGACAGAGACACGGCCCAGACCCCUAGGGGGGGGAGCAGGGGGAAAUAUUGCAAAAGGGGCAAAGCCCUGAUGCGGAAACGCCGGGGGGGGGAGGACGGCUUUGGGGGUUAAACCCGCUUUUAGUAGGGAAAAAGGGCUUCGGUUGGGCGGUCCCUGCAAAAAAAGGACCGGCGAACUAGG
Molecule: ribosomal RNA, 470 nt
Filed under: uncultured bacterium
Lineage: Bacteria
Description: partial 16S ribosomal RNA
Rfam family: Bacterial small subunit ribosomal RNA
Source: RNAcentral